AAUUUGUCUAAUAAAGGAUUAGGUAGAGAAAUAGAACGGUAAGAGCCUUACAAAUCUCCAUUUUUAUGAAUCACUUUCUGGACACGGGUGAAAGUAGUUGGUAAAACGUCGUUGUUCUGAGAAUAUUCAAAUGUUUUUAGCAACUAAGGGGUUAAUUUUUACGAAAUGAAUAAACUGCUUACUAUCCACUUUUUUCAUAAAAUAAAUAAACAGUAGCUACCGAUUUUCAGUAAACCUGCAUACUGAAUCAUCUGCUGGAAUGCGCGUUGGUAGGAAAAUUCGACGAGGACCAUAGACUGUAAAUACGACGAGGACGCAUGGAUAGUUGAAACGCGUUGCGGUAGCAAAACGCCGGCGCUCGGAUAUAGUUUUUUGGCACAGGUUUUUGGGGAGACACGAGACACCUGCCACCGGUUUUGAGUUGUUGUUUUUUUAAUCACAGAAAACUCCAACAAAUAAAACGUAUUGUUUAAGUUUCCUAAUAUUUGCGUUUUUGUAAAGGCUCGUUUUCAUUUUAUCAGCAUUUUGGUGAUGUGUUGCUCGUUAUUUUUUAAUCAAUGGUUUACGUACUACAUUUUUCAUCCAACCGACUAGCGACAUAAGUGAAUUUGUGUAAUGGUAAUUUUUUGGCGUUUUAAAACCGGAAGUUACGUGAUCACGUGGGAAGGCAAAGCUUUAAAUAGAAGCGCACCCUCUUUCACGCCCUCUCUUUUCCUUGUUGCGGUCGACAAAACAAGACUUUGUGUUGAAGAAACGCCAAUUAUACGGCUUUUUCGAGGACCAAGGAGGUUUAACUUCUUGAAGGUGGAAGUUUUCCUGGACAUUACUCUACAAGUGUUUAUCAAAAGACAGUAGUGCCCUCCUGGGAGCAUUCAGACCACAAGGGUCUGUGAAAGUUAAUGAGAGUUCUCUGGGAUUAAUAGUGUAUUUGAAUUGAAUUGAAAGGGGGGCAUUUGCAUGCCGAAAGGUGUGUGUUGGUGAAAGAUUUUCAAUCACACUCAUAGGUGGCAUUUGUCUGUCAACUGCCAUGUAGCCACAAAGAAGAUUUCAAACAGGAUAGUGGCUCAAACAAAGAAAAUGUAACGUCAGUACCAUGUGGUCUACCUCUGGUACAGAUUUAUUCCUUCACCCACAAAUGCACAACUACCUGCUGCCUGAACACUUUUUUUUUUUUCCUAAUGAACCAGUAAAAUCCUCGUGGCUAAAGGAGCGUCUGUCCAAAAUUCGUCUAGAUAAAGCGCCAAAGGAACUGGGCUAUUUUCAGGUAAUUAAAGAGAAACACUAAGAACUGGCAUUGGUAGUUGAUUUGCUUAGAGCUUAAAUUGAUAAAGGAUUUUCAUUGUAGUUUAACUCGCUCAAAAUUAAAUGGUGAUCUUUGUAUCAACAAAGAUCUGUUUUUCUGUAUGGAACUGGGGGGGCUAAGAUGAUUUGGAGAGGGUGUUGGGCUUAAAAAAAACUAAAGCUUCUGGAUCCCCCCCCUGUUGGAUUUCACAAUGAAUUCUGAUCAAUAAAGUUUAAAAUACUA
Molecule: long non-coding RNA, 1525 nt
Organism: Nothobranchius furzeri (turquoise killifish)
Lineage: Eukaryota; Metazoa; Chordata; Actinopteri; Cyprinodontiformes; Nothobranchiidae
Source: RefSeq, a predicted model, not a curated record